AUGAACGCUGGCGGCGUGCCUAAUACAUGCAAGUCGAGCGAACAGACGAGGAGCUUGCUCCUCUGACGUCAGCGGCGGACGGGUGAGUAACACGUGGAUAACCUACCUAUAAGACUGGGAUAACUUCGGGAAACCGGAGCUAAUACCGGAUAAUAUAUUGAACCGCAUGGUUCAAUAGUGAAAGACGGUUUUGCUGUCACUUAUAGAUGGAUCCGCGCCGCAUUAGCUAGUUGGUAAGGUAACGGCUUACCAAGGCAACGAUGCGUAGCCGACCUGAGAGGGUGAUCGGCCACACUGGAACUGAGACACGGUCCAGACUCCUACGGGAGGCAGCAGUAGGGAAUCUUCCGCAAUGGGCGAAAGCCUGACGGAGCAACGCCGCGUGAGUGAUGAAGGUCUUCGGAUCGUAAAACUCUGUUAUUAGGGAAGAACAAAUGUGUAAGUAACUAUGCACGUCUUGACGGUACCUAAUCAGAAAGCCACGGCUAACUACGUG
Molecule: ribosomal RNA, 496 nt
Filed under: uncultured bacterium
Lineage: Bacteria
Description: partial 16S ribosomal RNA
Rfam family: Bacterial small subunit ribosomal RNA
Source: RNAcentral